Parelaphostrongylus tenuis is the source of this 82-nucleotide non-coding RNA. Lineage: Eukaryota; Metazoa; Nematoda; Chromadorea; Rhabditida; Metastrongylidae. The record is from the annotation of a GenBank genome assembly.
GGCUUCGGUGGUGUAGCGGUAGCACGCCCCCCUCCCCUCUCCUGUAUGGGUGAAAUACGGGUUCAAUUCCCGCCUAAGGUCG